Molecule: long non-coding RNA, 1099 nt
Organism: Triticum aestivum (bread wheat)
Lineage: Eukaryota; Viridiplantae; Streptophyta; Magnoliopsida; Poales; Poaceae
Exons: 2
Source: RefSeq, a predicted model, not a curated record
CAUCAACCGCAUUGUGCUAACGCUUCCGCUUACGGUCUACGAGGGUACGUGGACAUUACUCUCCCCUCUCGUUGCUAUGUCAUCACCAUGAUCUUGCUGUGCGUAGGGAAAAUUUUGAAAUUACUCCGUUCCCCAACACGUUAGUCGCAGGAGCCACCCCGCCGCGCCCGGAGCCGCCUCCCAUAGCCGCCGCCGGUCCGCGCCCGGAGCCGCCUCCCGCAGCCGCCACCGGUCGCCGUGGCCGUCGCCCCGGGAGCCUCCCCACCGGCCUUUUGCCGCCUGCCGCGGCCGCGCCCUUCGUCGCCGGUGGCCGCGCACAUUCUGCUGACUCCAAGACGAGGAGCCGGUGCAUCGACGCCAAUGCGGGAUCUGUCCGCCCUCCUCGCUCGCCGUUGACGCCGCCAUAGGCGGAGGUGCCGCUGCUCCACGGGAUCCGGCAAGGUCGUCUUCCAUCACGACAGCCCAUCACGGGUGCAGGUGACUGGGGCGUGGUAGUCGUCCCCAUCGUCUCUACUGUUCCCAUGCCAAGAGGUGGUCCUUCCCGGUGGCCCUUGCUCCUUCGCCAGCGCGCUCCACGCUGGGCCGCCGCCUCUGCUCCUCCGCCAGAGCCCUGCCGCGCCCGGUCGCAGCCUCGCGCGCCUCCGUGUCGGCCCUCCACGCCUCUCCGCGCACGCCGCAGACGGCCCUCCUCACCUCCCACGACACGCCCGAGGAGCUCAACUGACGACGACACCCAUCUCCUUUCAGGAAACUGAAGAAGAGCGUUUGAGGAAAGAGGAGAAGUGGGAGGCACAGGAAGAUAAGAAGGGGAGAAGGGAGGGGGGAAACGAGAAGUUGCUCAAGAAGAAUACUAGAAACGCCUUACCAGUAGGCUUUCGUUGCAAUGUUUUCAUGGAUUAUUGGAUGAGUCUUCCUCUUGAUUGUUUUUUUAGGUAAGUUCAUGAUCACAUUGAAAAUAUGUGAUGGAUACAUGGAGUUUUGUGGAUGACCUGAUUUAUUGGGCCUUUUUGAGAUUUUUGUUUGGAAUUAAUAUUCAGCACAACCAUUGCCAAAGUAUAUUGAUCAACAGAUCAGCUUCUAAAUCAUUCAUCAUUUUCAA